Molecule: ribosomal RNA, 253 nt
Filed under: uncultured bacterium
Lineage: Bacteria
Description: partial 16S ribosomal RNA
Rfam family: Bacterial small subunit ribosomal RNA
Source: RNAcentral
UACGGAGGGAGCUAGCGUUGUUCGGAUUUACUGGGCGUAAAGCGCACGUAGGCGGCAUAGUAAGUCAGGGGUGAAAUCCCGGGGCUCAACCCCGGAACUGCCCUUGAAACUGCUAAGCUUGAAUCUUGGAGAGGCGAGUGGAAUUCCGAGUGUAGAGGUGAAAUUCGUAGAUAUUCGGAAGAACACCGGUGGCGAAGGCGGCAUCCUGGACCGGUAUUGACGCUGAGGCGCGAAAGCCAGGGGAGCAAACGGG